This 63-nucleotide transfer RNA is filed under the name Pteroxanium insularum. RNAcentral's name for it is "tRNA-Arg". Lineage: Eukaryota; Metazoa; Arthropoda; Insecta; Psocodea; Lepidopsocidae. The record is from RNAcentral.
AAAUAUGAAGUGAAAUCACAUUCAGUUUCGACCUGAAUUUUAGUAUUAAAUUACUCUUAUUUA